AGUGAACGCUGGCGGUAGGCCUAACACAUGCAAGUCGAACGGCAGCACAGUAAGAGCUUGCUCUUACGGGUGGCGAGUGGCGGACGGGUGAGGAAUACAUCGGAAUCUACUUUUUCGUGGGGGAUAACGUAGGGAAACUUACGCUAAUACCGCAUACGACCUACGGGUGAAAGCAGGGGAUCUUCGGACCUUGCGCGAUUGAAUGAGCCGAUGUCGGAUUAGCUAGUUGGCGGGGUAAAGGCCCACCAAGGCGACGAUCCGUAGCUGGUCUGAGAGGAUGAUCAGCCACACUGGAACUGAGACACGGUCCAGACUCCUACGGGAGGCAGCGGUGGGGAAUAUUGGACAAUGGGCGCAAGCCUGAUCCAGCCAUACCGCGUGGGUGAAGAAGGCCUUCGGGUUGUAAAGCCCUUUUGUUGGGAAAGAAAAGCAGCAGGUUAAUACCCCGCUGUCCUGACGGUACCCAAAGAAUAAGCACCGGCUAACUUCGUG
This 492-nucleotide ribosomal RNA is filed under the name uncultured bacterium. RNAcentral describes it as "partial 16S ribosomal RNA". It matches the Rfam family "Bacterial small subunit ribosomal RNA", at positions 29 to 507 of the family's 1533-position model. The record is from RNAcentral.